CUUCUCCCAUUCUAUCCUAGUUAAUGUCACCCAACUAAAUGUUGGGAGUUUUUUAGAUUCCUACAAUUCCCUUCCUGUUCUCUCCACAGUUGGUCAUUAACUCCUCUCUCCUAAUUUCUUGCCACCCCCUCAC
Leopardus geoffroyi (Geoffroy's cat) is the source of this 133-nucleotide long non-coding RNA. RefSeq lists it as uncharacterized. NCBI's taxonomy places the organism in Eukaryota, Metazoa, Chordata, Mammalia, Carnivora, Felidae. The transcript has 4 exons. The record is from RefSeq and is a predicted model, not a curated record.